CCUACGGGCGGCAGCAGUGGGGAAUAUUGGGCAAUGGGCGCAAGCCUGACCCAGCAACGCCGCGUGAAGGAAGAAGGCUUUCGGGUUGUAAACUUCUUUUAUUGAGGACGAAACAAAUGACGGUACUCAAUGAAUAAGCCACGGCUAACUACGUGCCAGCAGCCGCGGUAAUACGUAGGUGGCAAGCGUUAUCCGGAUUUACUGGGUGUAAAGGGCGUGUAGGCGGGACUGCAAGUCAGAUGUGAAAUCCUGCGGCUUAACCGCAGAACUGCAUUUGAAACUGUUGAUCUUGAGUACUGGAGAGGCAGAUGGAAUUCCUAGUGUAGCGGUGAAAUGCGUAGAUAUUAGGAGGAACACCAGUGGCGAAGGCGGUCUGCUGGACAGCAACUGACGGUGAGGCGCGAAAGCGUGGGGAGCAAACAGGAUUAGAUACCCGAGUAGUC
This 443-nucleotide ribosomal RNA is filed under the name uncultured bacterium. RNAcentral's name for it is "partial 16S ribosomal RNA". It matches the Rfam family "Bacterial small subunit ribosomal RNA", at positions 338 to 795 of the family's 1533-position model. The record is from RNAcentral.